UUGAAACACCUGUUCCUGUAUGAUCACCGAAGUUAAGCAAUGUUGAACCUGGUCAAUACCUAAAUGGAUAACCACUUAGGAAUACUAGGUGCUGUAAG
Acanthosepion pharaonis is the source of this 98-nucleotide non-coding RNA. The record is from the annotation of a GenBank genome assembly. Lineage: Eukaryota; Metazoa; Mollusca; Cephalopoda; Sepiida; Sepiidae.